GAUGAAGAACGCAGCGAAAUGCGAUAGGUAAUGUGAAUUGCAGAAUUCAGUGAAUCAUCGAAUCUUUGAACGCACAUUGCGCCCUGUGGUAUUCCGCAGGGCAUGCCUGUUCGAGCGUCAUUUCAACCCUCAAGCCCCGCUUGGUGUUGGGCCCCGCCCGCCGUGGCCGGCCCUAAAGACAGUGGCGGCGCCGCCUGGCCCUCAGCGUAGUACAGCUCUCGCUCCAGGGUCCGGCGGCCGCCUGCCAGAACCCCCCAACUCUGUGGUUGACCUCGGAUCAGGUAGGGAUACCCGCUGAACUUAAGCAUAUCAAUAAGCGGAGGA
RNAcentral lists this unclassified non-coding RNA (324 nucleotides) under soil metagenome. RNAcentral describes it as "partial contains 5.8S ribosomal RNA, internal transcribed spacer 2, and large subunit ribosomal RNA". The stretch from base 1 to 120 matches the Rfam family "5.8S ribosomal RNA", at positions 35 to 154 of the family's 154-position model. The record is from RNAcentral.